ACAACACCGGCGGUUGUUGGUGAUUUACCACCGCGGUAGUAAAAAUUUGCCACCGUCACAGCCCUAUGCACAACCAUCUCUAGGGUUUACAGAGAAUGGACCGAAAAAGAGAAAAUAUCCAGUGAGCGGCAGGUCUGUGGGUGAAAAUGCCUUGUUGACGCCAGACUGGUUUGAGCUGAUAGAAAGGCAACAGUAACUCAAAUAGCCACUUUUACAACCAAGGCCUACAGAAGAGCAUAGCUGAAUGCACAACAUGUCGAACCUUGAAGCAGAUGGCCUACAGCAGCAGAAGACCACACUGGUUGACACUCCUGUCAGAUAAGAACAGGAAACUGAGGCUACAAUUCGCAUGGGCUCACCAAUAUUGGACAAUAGAUGUUUGGAAAAAUGUUGCCUCGUCUGACGAUUCUUGAUUUCUGCUGCGACAUUCAGAAAGUAGACUCAGAAUUUAGCAUAAAAGACAUGAAAGCAUGGAUCUAUACUGCCUUGUAUCUAUGGUUCAGGCUGGACCCCUUAGUACCAACUGAGCAGUGUUUAAAUGCCAUUUGUCCAUCUCUAUAUGAGUGUACAAUGUAGCCAUCUUCUGAUGGCUACUUCCAGCAGGAUAACGCGCCAUGUCACAAAACUCAAAUCAUCUCAAACUGGUUACUUGAUCGUGACAAUGAGUUCACUAAACUCAAAUGGCCUCCACAGUCACCAGAUCCCAAUCCAAUAGAGCACCUUUGGGAUGUGGUGGAAUGGGAGAUUUGCAUCAUGGAUGUGCAGCCAACAAAUCUGCAGCAUCUGUAUGAUGCUAUAGUGUCAAUAUGGACCAAAAUUUCUGAGAAAUGUUUCCAGCACCUUGUUGAAUAUAUGAUGAAUUAAAGCCGUCCUGAAGGCAAAAGGGGGUCCAACACGGUACUAGCAAGGUGUACCCAAUAAAGUGGCCGGUGAGUGUAAUUUGUGCACUAUAUUUCAACUCUUCUGAAGCAAUAUGAUAGCUUUGUGUGAGGAACAGACUGACUUAAAUCAUUAUUCACUGUAAAUCUUUUCUGAAAGCUUUUAUUGUCUCACUUUUAUUGUAUAGAAAACAGCAGCUUAGACAUUCUUCUAUAAACAACACCUUUUGUGUUCCACAGAAGAAAGAAAACCAUACAGUUUCAAACAUGUGGGUGAGAAAUGAUGAUAGAAUUUCAAUUUUUAGGUGAACUGGAAGACUCAAAUGUUCAGUAGAAACUCACAAAUGUGCGGCUGGGGCUUCCUGAACGAGAGCGAACAGGACUGGAACUACGACUCCUGCUUCUCCACUAGAGAAAAACAUUAUGAGUACGUCAUGACUAGUAUGAAUGCUAUUUUGCUUGAUUUUCUCCAAAUGGCCUCCACAUACCAGAGCUCCUCUCCUAGUGACCGCCUCUCCUUUCAGUAUGACAGUGUCUCCCUCCAACAGUGCAGGCCACACGUGAUACGCCACCAGUGGAGCGGUGAACUCUGAGUCAAAACUGCGCCUGUACCUGAGAGGAAGAGAAAGUGUGACGGCAAUGAAAAGGAUCCUCUGGACUGUUUCCAGGUCGUCAAUGUAUCUGCGCAGGAGACUUUGGGAGUCCAGUCUCUCUGUGGCAUACAGGUCUGAGAAACGCGAGACCAGCCGUGCAUGCCGAGAGGAACUAGU
Megalobrama amblycephala (Wuchang bream) is the source of this 1648-nucleotide long non-coding RNA. RefSeq lists it as uncharacterized. The transcript is spliced from 3 exons. The record is from RefSeq and is a predicted model, not a curated record. NCBI's taxonomy places the organism in Eukaryota, Metazoa, Chordata, Actinopteri, Cypriniformes, Xenocyprididae.